Long non-coding RNA from Zingiber officinale, 545 nucleotides. RefSeq lists it as uncharacterized. Lineage: Eukaryota; Viridiplantae; Streptophyta; Magnoliopsida; Zingiberales; Zingiberaceae. The record is from RefSeq and is a predicted model, not a curated record. The transcript has 3 exons.
CUAGCAGUGAAGGAAGCUAAAGGGGAGGAUCGCGAUGGAGUUGGUUGCUAUACAUUGUGGAUUACAGCUGAGCGAUCUCGAUCGGUUGGUGAUGUUAAAGUAGGAGCGCUAGACCGCCGAGAUGGCCUGCGCUGCCAAACCCCCGUGAUGCCGAUAAGUCGUAUUGAAACUGCAACAAGCCUUGGAGUUGGAUCCUGAAUGGCAUGCAGCACUAUUGAUCUUGGGGAAUGCCCAUAGUCAGCAAGGGUUCUCCACCCCUAAUGAACAGGUUUUUUUGGGUUGCUUGAGAAGGCAACUUAGUGCUUCAAGCAGGCUGUGAAAUUGGCGCCCAAGGAUAGUGAUCUGAAGUAUGAUAUAGAUCACAUCCUCCUCUUCCAAGAUAAUAUAUGUAAAGAUGUAGAGCUACUGACCUCCUAAUGAGAGGAACAUUCUGUGAUACAUAACAGAUCAACCAGACUAUACAACUUUAUAAAUCAUUGUAAUGAACUAUUUUUUUAAAAAAGCUCUACAUCAUUUUGAGAGCGUGGAAUAUCAACAGCUUAAAA